Long non-coding RNA from Brachypodium distachyon (stiff brome), 1734 nucleotides. RefSeq lists it as uncharacterized. Lineage: Eukaryota; Viridiplantae; Streptophyta; Magnoliopsida; Poales; Poaceae. The record is from RefSeq and is a predicted model, not a curated record. The transcript has 2 exons.
UUUUCUUUCACCGCGAACCUCGCGUCGCGUCUCGCUCAGCACGCCACCGAGCCCCGCCACCGUUCCUCUUUCUCUCGCCAACGCGCCCCGCUAGAAACCAAGCCACCCUCCUCCUCCCGUCCCUGUCCGUCCGUGGCCCGUCGGCCGCCCACCAGCGGCACCGGCAGCGCGGGCGCUGCAGCAGGAUGCGGAGUUCGCAGUGGCUGGGAACCGACGGGCUGUGGCGAGCGCGGCGGAGGCAUGACUCGGCGGCGGAUUCCCUCCCUCUACCCUCUUGCCCCCUCCCUCUUCUUCCUCCUCUGCCGACCCCAUCCUCAGGAAGCUUCACGUCGUCUCCAACCCCAAUCUUCUGCUCUUUUCUUGAAAUCCGAAGGCAAAAUCGAUUCACAGGGUGGUAAACAAUAAUUUCCCUGAUUCAAUUUGGGGAAAAAAUGGCCGGGACUAGCAUAAUCAAAGGGGAGAUCGACCACCAUGGUGGUGGUUGGGCGACUGCGCCUCCGAUGUCGCCAUCUACGAGCGUUCAGUCGCCCGUCGAUCAGAAGAUGCCCAAUAUUUUUGAGGGAAAGAAGAUGCCCAAUUCGUGAGCACCAACGGCGGCGACGCGGCCAUGGACGCCGUCAGGGCCGUGCUCCCGCGAUGCAGCCACCUUGAGCGAGGCAUCGAGGAGCGCCUCGUCUGCUGUUGGGCAUCCUUGUUGCACGACCUGCUCCGACACGCAGACGCCUGCGCCUAGAAUAUGCGCGUGAACGAUGAGGCCGAGCUCGAGUGCUCGACCACGGGAACGACGCGUCCUGGCUGCCACUGACCACAUAGCACGAGCUCCGUCAAGAAGAGCUGUUGUGCAAUGCACGUCUCAACUAAUCGAUCUGCUUCUGAAGAUGGAAAUUAAGUUCAGAGUUGUAGCAAACAAAGGUACAUCUUGUGUUGAUAUGCUUCAGAGUUUAGAUGCUUGACCUGCUUUUUUUUGCGGGAAAUGCUUGACCUGCUUUAACUUUGAGUAAUUGUGUACUUGAUCAUCAAUUCAUCAUGUUUAUCUGCGCCAAGCCAAACAGCAUCUUCUGAAAAUCAAGUAUUCCUCCGAUCUUAAAUUGUUGUCUCAAGUUUGCCCAAAUAUGAAUGUAUCUAUUUUUAAAAAAUGUCUAGAUACAUGUAAUAUUUCGACAACAAUUUAGGACCUGAGGAGUACAUUGCAACACUUCCGUUGGUCGGCUUCUGAAGAUUGAAGUUGGUCAAACAAAUGUACAUCUUCUGAAAGAACACUUCCGUGCUCCUUAAUUUGCUGCAUAAUUGUAAGUUCUAGAAUAUGCUUCGUGGAGCUCAAGGUUCUUCUCCGCUAGGAUUUAUUUUUGAAUUCCUUUUGGUUUUACAACCCGCAAAUGAACUUUUCAUGUGUACAUUUGUUUUGUUCUGUUUUCAUGUGCUCAUAUUAACAUGUUGUGUUUUUACUCGUAUUUUGUUUUUUCGUAGCAGCCCACGGGCUUCUAACUAGUGCUCAAUAGUACAUUAGUGAAUUCGACACAGACAUUUCUAAUUUGAUGGAGCAUGUUCGUGUAGCGGAGCUUAGGGCAUCUUCAAUGGGAAGCCGGUACUAAUUUUCAUUUCCUGCCUUCUCUAUUCUCUUUCUCUUUUUAUUCCUUUCUUUCUCCCAGUGGACCCACAUGUCAUGCUCAAUUUAUUCCUGGUACCCGUGCACAAGCUGUUACUUUUGCAAAUAACUUGUACUUGUAUUUUUCA